Molecule: unclassified non-coding RNA, 329 nt
Filed under: soil metagenome
Description: partial contains 5.8S ribosomal RNA, internal transcribed spacer 2, and large subunit ribosomal RNA
Rfam family: 5.8S ribosomal RNA (bases 1-120)
Source: RNAcentral
GAUGAAGAACGCAGCGAAAUGCGACAAGUAAUGUGAAUUGCAGAAUUCCGUGAAUCAUCGAAUCUUUGAACGCACAUUGCGCCCCCUGGUAUUCCGGGGGGCAUGCCUGUCCGAGCGUCAUUACAACCCUCAAGCUCAGCUUGGUGUUGGGCCCCGCCGCCCCGGCGGGCCCUAAAGUCAGUGGCGGUGCCGUCCGGCUCCGAGCGUAGUAAUUCUUCUCGCUCUGGAGGCCCGGUCGUGUGCUCGCCAGCAACCCCCAAUUUUUUUCAGGUUGACCUCGGAUCAGGUAGGGAUACCCGCUGAACUUAAGCAUAUCAAUAAGCGGAGGA